This is a non-coding RNA of Abortiporus biennis, 107 nucleotides long. The record is from the annotation of a GenBank genome assembly. Lineage: Eukaryota; Fungi; Basidiomycota; Agaricomycetes; Polyporales; Podoscyphaceae.
GCCGGGAUAGCUCAGCUGGGAGAGCGACAGACUGAAGAUGUUGUUUGCAAUCGAGGCAAUCUUCCACUGAUUUCUGCAGGUCAGGUGUUCAAUCCACCUUCCUGGCA